GGAGAGGUGGCGGAAUUGGUAGACGCGCUACUUUGAGGGGGUAGUGAAAAUUGUUUCGUGGGAGUUCGAGUCUCCUCCUCUUCACAA
This 87-nucleotide transfer RNA is filed under the name Prevotella micans F0438. RNAcentral's name for it is "tRNA-Leu". It matches the Rfam family "tRNA". Rfam says of the family: Transfer RNA (tRNA) molecules are approximately 80 nucleotides in length. The record is from RNAcentral. Lineage: Bacteria; Pseudomonadati; Bacteroidota; Bacteroidia; Bacteroidales; Prevotellaceae.